RNAcentral lists this ribosomal RNA (163 nucleotides) under Rosa davurica. RNAcentral's name for it is "5.8S ribosomal RNA". It matches the Rfam family "5.8S ribosomal RNA". From Rfam's summary of the family: 5.8S ribosomal RNA (5.8S rRNA) is a component of the large subunit of the eukaryotic ribosome. It is transcribed by RNA polymerase I as part of the 45S precursor that also contains 18S and 28S rRNA. Functionally, it is thought that 5.8S rRNA may be involved in ribosome translocation. The record is from RNAcentral. Lineage: Eukaryota; Viridiplantae; Streptophyta; Magnoliopsida; Rosales; Rosaceae.
UAAACGACUCUCGGCAACGGAUAUCUCGGCUCCCGCAUCGAUGAAGAACGUAGCGAAAUGCGAUACUUGGUGUGAAUUGCAGAAUCCCGUGAACCAUCGAGUCUUUGAACGCAAGUUGCGCCCGAAGCCAUAGGCCGAGGGCACGUCUGCCUGGGCGUCACAC